CCAGACUCCUACGGGAGGCAGCAGUGGGGAAUAUUGGGCAAUGGGCGCAAGCCUGACCCAGCAACGCCGCGUGAAGGAAGAAGGCUUUCGGGUUGUAAACUUCUUUUCUCAGGGACGAAGCAAGUGACGGUACCUGAGGAAUAAGCCACGGCUAACUACGUGCCAGCAGCCGCGGUAAUACGUAGGUGGCAAGCGUUAUCCGGAUUUACUGGGUGUAAAGGGAGCGUAGACGGCAUAGCAAGUCUGAAGUGAAAGGCCGUGACUCAACCGCGGAACUGCUUUGGAAACUGUUAAGCUGGAGUACUGGAGAGGCAAGCGGAAUUCCUAGUGUAGCGGUGAAAUGCGUAGAUAUUAGGAGGAACACCAGUGGCGAAGGCGGCUUGCUGGACAGAGACUGACGUUGAGGCUCGAAAGCGUGGGGAGCAAACAGGAUUAGAUACCCGCGUAAA
This 449-nucleotide ribosomal RNA is filed under the name uncultured bacterium. RNAcentral's name for it is "partial 16S ribosomal RNA". It matches the Rfam family "Bacterial small subunit ribosomal RNA", at positions 331 to 794 of the family's 1533-position model. The record is from RNAcentral.